This 82-nucleotide small RNA is filed under the name Salmonella enterica subsp. enterica serovar Typhi. RNAcentral's name for it is "StyR-329". Lineage: Bacteria; Pseudomonadati; Pseudomonadota; Gammaproteobacteria; Enterobacterales; Enterobacteriaceae. The record is from RNAcentral.
CUUUUGCCCGGUGGCGCUGCGCUUACCGGGCCUACAGGUACAGAUGCUGUAGGCCGGAUGAGCGUUAGCGCCAUCCGGCAUU